Non-coding RNA from Gasterosteus aculeatus aculeatus (three-spined stickleback), 2123 nucleotides. The record is from RefSeq and is a predicted model, not a curated record. NCBI's taxonomy places the organism in Eukaryota, Metazoa, Chordata, Actinopteri, Perciformes, Gasterosteidae.
CUUGUAUUUGAAGGAGCUGAAGGCCAGGACAACAAAGCAUGCACGGACUUGGCCUAUGCAGAUAUCACUACUUUCCAUAGAAGAGACGGUGGGACAGUGCAGCUCGGGGUUCAGCCUGACGCAUCAGAAUAUGCCCAGAUCAGAGAGAACGACCGUCCUCCAGAUGCCUCCUCCCGUCCCACCUACGAUGACCACCUGCAGCGAAAGAAGAACCAGGCUCCUCAGCCUCCUUCUAACAUCUCACAGCUUUACGCUGAGAUUAAAAAGAACUGACCUUACUGGAAGUGACGGGUUAUAUGGAGGCCACAAGCGUCUGAUAUGUGGUCAUGAAACACUCCCCUCUCAGUUUUUAUAGAGGACUCAUUCUGAACUGUGUUUACCAUGUCGAUGCACUUUAGCGGUGGUUAAUAAUUGCACCAGGUUAUGACAGUCGUUGCCAUAACUGAUGUCAGGCGCCACAAUGUUCGCCUGUAAGUUUGCAUCUGACAUAAUAGCUUUUCUUUGUUUGUUUGUUGGUGUCAAUGCUUGAUUCCACACGGGUUUUGGAUUUGUUUUCACAUAUAUUACGCAUUUUAGAAAAACUAAACAUUGUUGACAAUAUGUAAUUUACCUUUCAGUGGUUUCUAUCGGGUUAUUGACACACCUUGAGUUUGUUAAUUUGUCUGUGCGAAAGUGAACUAUAAUGACCUUCACAUAAAAGGUUUAUGGUGGUUCAAAGGAACAGUUGAAAGAUGAAUAGACAAAUACAUAUUUGUAAUCGAAUUAGUAGUGAAAGUUGCAGCAGUAUGCAAUAUGUUUUUUUUUCCAGUUCUACUUGAGAAAUAGAAGAAACACUAGUUCAUCAAAUUCAAAAGAAAACACCUGAACAGUUAUAUCCUUGAUAUCCAGGACAAUAAUAACAACAAUGACCGUAAUUCUUACGAAAGGCAAAUGGAAGCUAUUUCCAGUCAGAAAUAUCUGGGAUCAUCAGAGUAAUUUAGAUUACGCUUACCGUACAUGUCAAUAAAAAUUGCUCUUUGAACAAAUUAUAUGAUGCUUCAUACCUUCCACAAAGGCCUCAAGCCAACAGGGAAGUAGUUCAAUGAAGUAGACUUAAAUCCCACAUUACAAGUUGCUGAACAUAUCUGUGAUUCAAGGCAAUAGAGGCAGUGUGUCUGCACAUGGAAGGUUUCUUUUGUUGUAUAAAGAAGAAAACAGCGUUUGAUGGGUUCACUUUGAGGUUGAUAAAGUAGUUAUGUCUGAAAUAUCUCAUAAAAUAAUAAUAAUAACAAAAUCCAAUCCAAACAGUUGACAGUUGAACAAUCGGCUGUAACUCACUAUGGAGCUCGGUAAAAUCCAAGGGAGCCGAACAACACUGUUUUCACGUUGUUAUUUAAUAUAUUUAGUAUAUUAAUAGUGGUCACAUUUUCAUCCGUUACCACAACAAAUGCAUUCAAUUAAAAGUGUCUUUUUUUCUCAGUAAAUGUGCAUUUAUAGAGCAGGGCUUCAGAUGAAGCCAGAAAGACGAUGAAGCAUCUCAAGGUUAGCUGAUAAGUAAAUGACUGUUUGGUAGAUGUCCCCUCCCCCACUAGUUACUCAUUGGUGAAGCUGAAACUCCAUGUGAGCUGCACCCAUUUUGGAUUACAGCUGCAUAUUAGGGAAGGAUUUGUAAACUAAACAUUUCCCACUUCCAUCCCUGUAACACAAAGAUCUUUAACAAAAAAACAGAUUCUCUAAAAUCACAUGGUUUUGACUUGAAUCCAUUCAGAAACAUGUGAUUUUUGUGAUCCACUUGAUUUAGUGUUUGGAUUUUUGCCUUUUCAAAUAAAUAGUUUUACCAAACACGUUAACUUAAUAUUUGGUAUGUUUUAUAUUUGGUAAAGCUUUGGUAUGUUCACUGGUGGUUUAAGGAGGAAUGGUAAUUAUAUUUUGUAUAGUGAAUUGUGUUGUAUCAUGAUUUAGUAGUAUCAACUCUUUUGUUAUUCUUUUUUGUUUAACCUAACUGCAACGUUCAUUUACUGGCGUAUCAAACUGAACAUGUGAUUAACGUCUGACCUUAGAAAGAGACAUGUGAAUGUAACUACAGUUGUUUUUUUUAUAUAUAUUUUGCUCAUUUGGAUGAUUAAACUAUAAUAUAUUAACAA